GACAGAGGGUGCAAGCGUUAAUCGGAAUUACUGGGCGUAAAGCGCUCGUAGGUGGCUAAUUAAGCCGGAUGUAAAAUCCCCGGGCUCAACCUGGGAAUGCCAUUCGGGACUGUUUAGCUAGAAUUAGGUAGAGGAAAGUGGAAUUUCCGGUGUAGCGGUGAAAUGCGUAGAUAUCGGAAGGAACACCAGUGGCGAAGGCGACUUUCUGGACCUAAAUUGACACUGAGGAGCGAAAGCGUGGGUAGCAAACAGG
Molecule: ribosomal RNA, 253 nt
Filed under: uncultured bacterium
Lineage: Bacteria
Description: partial 16S ribosomal RNA
Rfam family: Bacterial small subunit ribosomal RNA
Source: RNAcentral